GGUGGUAGCUCAGUGGUAGAGCAUUGCCUAGCAUAUGCAAGACCCUGGGUUCAGUCCCCAGUGCCACCA
This 69-nucleotide transfer RNA is filed under the name Marmota marmota marmota (Alpine marmot). It matches the Rfam family "tRNA". From Rfam's summary of the family: Transfer RNA (tRNA) molecules are approximately 80 nucleotides in length. Their secondary structure includes four short double-helical elements and three loops (D, anti-codon, and T loops). The record is from Rfam by way of RNAcentral. Lineage: Eukaryota; Metazoa; Chordata; Mammalia; Rodentia; Sciuridae. RNAcentral also lists the same sequence under 1 other name.